AACGAACGCUGGCGGCAGGCCUAACACAUGCAAGUCGAGCGAGGACUUCGGUCCUAGCGGCGGACGGGUGAGUAACGCGUGGGAACGUGCCCUUUGCUUCGGAAUAGCCCUGGGAAACUGGGAGUAAUACCGGAUGAGCCCUUUGGGGGAAAGAUUUAUCGGCGAAGGAUCGGCCCGCGUUGGAUUAGGUAGUUGGUGGGGUAAUGGCCUACCAAGCCGACGAUCCAUAGCUGGUUUGAGAGGAUGAUCAGCCACACUGGGACUGAGACACGGCCCAGACUCCUACGGGAGGCAGCAGUGGAGAAUCUUAGACAAUGGGGGAAACCCUGAUCUAGCCAUGCCGCGUGAGCGAUGAAGGCCUUAGGGUUGUAAAGCUCUUUCAGCUGGGAAGAUAAUGACGGUACCAGCAGAAGAAGCCCCGGCUAACUCCGUG
Molecule: ribosomal RNA, 433 nt
Filed under: uncultured bacterium
Lineage: Bacteria
Description: partial 16S ribosomal RNA
Rfam family: Bacterial small subunit ribosomal RNA
Source: RNAcentral